Molecule: ribosomal RNA, 243 nt
Filed under: uncultured bacterium
Lineage: Bacteria
Description: partial 16S ribosomal RNA
Rfam family: Bacterial small subunit ribosomal RNA
Source: RNAcentral
UACGGAGGGAGCAAGCGUUACUCGGAAUUAUUGGGCGUAAAGGGCGCGUAGGCGAUCCUGUAUGUCUCGUGUGAAAUCCCAGGGCUUAACCCUGGAAUGGCAAGAGAAACUGCUGGAAUUGAGUUCCGGAGAGGAAGGCAGAAUUCCCGGUGUAGCGGUGAAAUGCGUAGAUAUCGGGAGGAAUACCAGUGGCGAAGGCGGCCUUCUGGACGGAUACGUGACGCUGAGGCGCGAAAGCCAGGG